This 591-nucleotide unclassified non-coding RNA is filed under the name Hevea brasiliensis (rubber tree). Lineage: Eukaryota; Viridiplantae; Streptophyta; Magnoliopsida; Malpighiales; Euphorbiaceae. The record is from RNAcentral.
GCAACACCUUACUCAACUUCCUACUCCACUCCACUUUGCUCCUUCCCAUUUGCAAGCCAAAAACGGCAAUCCCAUUUUCUUCAAUCCAAAUCAAUAAUAUGAAGAAAUAACAUUCAACAAUCCUCACUUAUUCUCAUUAUUAUCAAUGGCAAGUCACACUUGUUUCACACUAAUACCUUCUUCUUUAUCUUCUCCCAAAUUGCCAUUUCCCAAAAACACUAUCUUCCCAAAAUUAUCAAAACCCACUUUCAUGUUUGAUCGGAAAAGUUCCUUUCAAAAUGGCACCGCUGCUGUUCCUGCUGUAGGCGAGGAUUUUCCGAUUGAUUAUGCUAAUUGGCUGCCAAAACGAGACCCAAACGAUCGUAGAAGAGCGGGAAUUUUGCUUCAUCCUACCUCGUUUCCUGGACCUUAUGGUAUUGGUGACCUAGGCCCCGAAGCUUUUAAGUUCCUUGAUUGGCUUCAUCUUGCUGGUUGCUCCCUUUGGCAGGUUCUUCCACUUGUACCGCCUGGAAAGAGAGGCAAUGAAGAUGGAUCACCCUAUUCAGGACAGGAUGCAAAUUGUGGUAACACACUUCUGAUUUCUCUUGAAGA